Molecule: long non-coding RNA, 3459 nt
Filed under: Podarcis lilfordi (Lilford's wall lizard)
Lineage: Eukaryota; Metazoa; Chordata; Lepidosauria; Squamata; Lacertidae
Source: RNAcentral
UGCGCUUAGCACCUAUGUCAUAUCUGGGUGCCAGACAAAGUCCAUUUUGUUCUCAGGCUUUUAAUGCUAUUUGAAUUGGUCUUUUUUAAGAUAUCUGAUUUUUUCUUUUUUACUGGCUCCAUUUUUAUGAUUUAUACACGUCUGAUUGUAUGUAGUUUUUUUAUUCAGGUUUUUGUUUUGUUUUAUUCAGUUUAGUUCAUAUGUAUUGCUUACAACCAUAGGUCAUUACAAUAUGAAGGAGGGGGAGAUAGACAGGCUAUGAGAAAUAAAUGUGGUAUGAAAUACAACAAAACCUAAUAAUUAAAAUAUGGUUGCCAAUCCAAUGAAUAAAAUAUUACUACGGGUUGUCUCUAAUGUUGGUUCUACUCAAAGCAGACCUGUUAAAAUUAAAAGAUCUAUGUUAGUCAUAUUAAUUACUUUUAUUGUGUCUUCUCUGAGUAGAACUAACAUUCAAGACAACCUUAAAUUUUAAUCAGUUAUGUAUCUAGAUAUAAAGUCCCACCGUACCACUUUUAGUAAGAAAACUAUUAGCCACAAUAAAGCUGACAAAAAUACAAUUAACAUGAUUGAAAUAAUUAAGGUUCUCCAGUAGUAGCUCAUUUUGUUCAUUAAUUAAAAAAUAAUAAUUUAUAUGUUUUGAUAUAUUAUUCAAUUGUGAGCUGUCUUGAAAGAAAAGAUGGCACUGGUUUUUUGCCAUUUACAGUAUUUAGCUCUCGGAGGAAAUGGGGAUAAUGGAAAGGAAAUGGGGUGGAGAGAGGCAGAAAAAUCUGCAGAACUCUACUGCCCUCAUUUCCACUCAACAGGUAAUUGGAAAAGCUGGAUUAAUAGCCUCUGUAUCCCCCUCCCGCCCCAAGUUUUAGGACUGCAGCCGUAAAUACAAUAAGAGCACAAUAUCCAUAGACACCAUACAUAACAAUUACAAUAUUGAUACAUUAUAACAUAUAGGCAGUUCGACAAUUACUAGUACAUCUAAGCAUAUAAAACAGGUCAAUUAACAAUAUCCAACAGUGAUAAUAUCACUGUUAUAUCGACAUUAAGCAAUUUACUGUGUAGUUCAUAUACUUCAGUAGUUCUCCAUGACUCUGUAGGUCAGGCACGUCCAACUCCCAAGAGACUGCGAUCUACUCACAGUAUAAAAAGACUGGCUGUGAUCUACCCAUUGUCAUUGCCAGGGGUUGUUGAGCUUUUUUUAGGGGAGAUUUGACAAAAGGAACACUAAGGCAAUCACUAACUUGAUACCACGAUCGACCUGUUGGACAUGCCUGCUAUAUAACAUAUAACCCCACUGCAAAAACUUCAGGUACACAAGAUUCUCAGGUUCAUCUCCCAUCAUGCAAAUACCUCUGUAUUAUAGGUCUCCCAUUUUGGUCUCAUGCAAUAAUGAGAAAGUACAACUCCCAUCAGCCCCAGCCAGCACACCCAGCUAUGUUCCCACCAUUGCAAAAAAAAAUUCUAAAGGUUAUUUGCUUGCUAAAACAAUUAUUCAUAUGAUUAACAGAAACAACAACCACCCUAAAUUGGCAACAUCCCUUUAGCAUGCCGAAGAGCUGAUAAACCAUGCUAUGACCCAGCCAUAAAUUAUAUCACACAACAAGGGGAAAAUGUCUGAAUGAUUUUUCCUGUAAUAGGCCAUUAAGAACAUUGUACGACUAAUUAAUCUAUUAAUUAGACACCUUAUCAUCCUUCCACAUGAUAGCAUGUUGCCAAAUAAAAAACUGCCUCUGGGCCAAAAAGAGACUAGGAAAGUAAAGAAGAUACAAAGAAAAGGAAAUGUUGGAAUUUUAAAAGAGAAAUGCAAGGAAAGGAAAUGGGUGGGGGAGGGAGAAGUGAAGUAAUACUCUCAAUUUUAUGAUCCUUGUAAACAAAUAAAGUAUUUAUUUAUUAACUUUAUCCAUAUGCUGCCUUAAAAACAGAACUAACUGCAGCAUGGAGAGCAUUGAUCAGGAAGUCAGAAUAAAGCUAGCAUCUCCUACGUUUCUUCCCAGUUCUCUCUUAUGAGCAGCCUAAUCUCCACAACAGAAGGAUAGUUUUUCUGUUUAUAGAACCUAGGAAACUUAUGCCAGAGCAUUUGUCCUGCAUUAUCUGGUCUUAUUCUCUCCAGGGUCCCAGGCAAGAAAUUUUACAAAUACCUACUCCUGAUCCUUUUUAACUGGAGAUGCCAGAGACUGAAACUGACACGUUCUGCAUGCAAAGCAUGUGCUCUAUUGUCUCUCCUCAAUGUGGCUGCUGCUUUCCAAAGCUCCUCUAAUCCCAAGUGUCUGAUGCAAGUCCAAUUCCCAGCUUCUCUGCUCAUCUCAAUAACAGAGGGUUGAAAGACUGGAAAUAAGGUAUCUGAAGAAGUGUGCAUGCACACAAAAGCUCAUACCAAUAACUAACUUAGUUGGUCUCUAAGGUGCUACUGGAAGGAAUUUUUUUAUUUUGUUUGGAAAUAAGAUGCUAGUUCUCAAUACUUAAGGUUGCUUCCAGGUGGUGUUUUUAGAUUAUCGUUACAGUGCUAUAACACUUUCCAUUAUCCAAUAUUUUGCUAUUACUUUAAUAAAAAUGCACACUGUGAUGCAAUUAAUAAUCAUACCCAUGUUGGGGGAAAGAUUCCUGCAUUGCAUGGGGUUGGACUAAGUGACCCUCAUUGUCCCUUCCAACUCUACAUUCUAUGAUCUAGGGAAAUACCUUCCCUUUGACAUUCUCUUUCUGCAAACUUUCUCCUUUCCAUAUCUCUUAGGCCUGAGGGCCAAAUGUGACCUCCAGGUCUAGCCGACUCAAGGGACCAGCCCAGGAUGCCGCUCCCCCAAGGCCACUUCCCACAGGCAACACCCCUCCUUGGCCCUGCGCCACAUAGCCCUCCAGUUCUUUUGCCUGGUUGCAAUGUGUCUUUGAACUGUAACAAUGCCUGUUGCUUGCCAGGCUGGAGAGAUGCACAUGUGGAAACCGCUGGCAUUUGCGUGGUUGGGCUGUGGCUUACAAUAUAAAUACUGUAUAAAAGGGACAUCUGUUGGCCCACUUAACACUGGCAUGCAGCUCCUAUGAAGGAACGCAGUCCUUAGGUUGUUUAAAGAAGAUAGCAAAAGGGGAUUCAGUUAUACUAUCUCAAAAUUCCAAAAGUAAAUUGUGGUGGGAAACACCAAAUUACUGAAGAAAGCAUAUAACAUUUUGUUAUAUGGAGAGACUUUAGAUGAGAUGGUAAAAUCGGCACAAAUAAAAUGGGCUCAGGAUGUUUGGCAUAAUAUACAGUUGGAGGAAUGGGAAAGAUUAUGGAAAACAAAUUUAAAGUUUACAGAUUGUAUAUUAUUAAGAGAAAUGUAAUUGAAAAUGAUAUAUAGAUGGUAUAUCACACCAGAAAAAAUUGCAAAAAUAUAUAAAACAGGAUCUUAAGAUAUGUUGGAGAUGCAAAGAGAAAGAUGGUACUUUUUUCAUGUAUGGUGGAAAUGCAAGAAUGUUAAAGAAUAUUGAGAAAUGAUAUAU